AGUAUAAAAUUAAGUAAAUGUUUUUUGUAUGUUUUUCUUCCACAGAGUGCUAAAGAGUUGAUUAAAAAGAUCAUUGACACUUCCAAGGCCUCCAACAUAGAGCGAACAGACCCAGGGUACGAGAGCAUGGACCACUUUAUUAUCAACACUGACGACAUAGCUGACAUGCUGAGGACAAUAGACUUCCAAUCAGUCUCCCAGGGCGAAGACGCCGAGGAGGGCUAUGAAGCUGAAGAGGUGGUGGCAACAGAAGAUGAGGUGCCACAGCUGAACGCGGAGGGAGAGAGCAGCAGAUAUGACUCAGGUGGACUCCUUUCAGGUCAGGCUGCAGUCGCCAGAUGACAAAAGUAAAACAAGAACCCACUCUUAAACCAUGUCUGCAGCCGAAUGUUUCAUGGUCAUUUGUAAGCACACAUUAGUUGCUCCAGAUGUUUAAAAAACUAAAAAAUGAAAAAGAACAGCUUGACACUGAUUUUAAUGGUGAGCAAUGUAAUUUUCCAGAUUAUCGCCCUGCCAAUGACCUGCUUUGUUCCUCCUUUCCCAUUGCUUUGUGUGGAAUGUUUGAAACUACUAUUAUUAAUAUCGUCAUGUGAACAAUUUUACGCGACUCGUCACUUAUCAAGCCCAUGAGUACCGGCAAUAAAGAUGAAAAAAAUGUAUUAAAUUUCAUUAA
Molecule: non-coding RNA, 673 nt
Organism: Lepisosteus oculatus (spotted gar)
Lineage: Eukaryota; Metazoa; Chordata; Actinopteri; Semionotiformes; Lepisosteidae
Source: RefSeq, a predicted model, not a curated record